AGGGUUCUGAGAAGUCCAAAGUGCCAUUGCUCAAGAUGAGAUCACCAAAAGACAUGGAGAACCUUACCUGGACUGCAUACACCUGCAUUAGAGUGUAAAAUGGAAGAUAACAUUUUACAGGUUAUCAAUAAGGUCCCUGGAGGAAAGUAUGCAGGAGAGGACCCAUCGCUGCUGGGCCAUGGCUUGCAGAGUACUCCCUGUUAGUCAGCACUGUGACCACAAUGAAGCAGGACGUGCCAGGCAUGAGAGAGUAGGGUGAAUGAGAGCAAAGUACCCACGUGUCUGCUGG
Meleagris gallopavo (turkey) is the source of this 289-nucleotide non-coding RNA. Lineage: Eukaryota; Metazoa; Chordata; Aves; Galliformes; Phasianidae. The record is from RefSeq and is a predicted model, not a curated record.